UCCCUAGUAGCUCAAAUGGUAAAGCAUCUGCCUUCAAUGCCAGGAAACCUGGGUUCAAUCCCUAGGUUGGGAA
RNAcentral lists this transfer RNA (73 nucleotides) under Ovis aries (sheep). It matches the Rfam family "tRNA". Rfam says of the family: Transfer RNA (tRNA) molecules are approximately 80 nucleotides in length. Their secondary structure includes four short double-helical elements and three loops (D, anti-codon, and T loops). Further hydrogen bonds mediate the characteristic L-shaped molecular structure. tRNAs have two regions of fundamental functional importance: the anti-codon, which is responsible for specific mRNA codon recognition, and the 3' end, to which the tRNAs corresponding amino acid is attached (by aminoacyl-tRNA synthetases). tRNAs cope with the degeneracy of the genetic code in two manners: having more than one tRNA (with a specific anti-codon) for a particular amino acid; and 'wobble' base-pairing, i.e. permitting non-standard base-pairing at the 3rd anti-codon position. The record is from Rfam by way of RNAcentral. Lineage: Eukaryota; Metazoa; Chordata; Mammalia; Artiodactyla; Bovidae.